Molecule: ribosomal RNA, 433 nt
Filed under: uncultured bacterium
Lineage: Bacteria
Description: partial 16S ribosomal RNA
Rfam family: Bacterial small subunit ribosomal RNA
Source: RNAcentral
AACGAACGCUGGCGGCAUGCCUAACACAUGCAAGUCGAACGAGACCUUCGGGUCUAGUGGCGCACGGGUGCGUAACGCGUGGGAACCUGCCCUUAGGUUCGGAAUAACUCCCCGAAAGGGGUGCUAAUACCGGAUAAUGUCUUCGGACCAAAGAUUUAUCGCCUUUGGAUGGGCCCGCGUUGGAUUCGCUAGUUGGUAGGGUAAAAGCCUACCAAGGCGACGAUCCAUAGCUGGUCUGAGAGGAUGAUCCGCCACACUGGGACUGAGACACGGCCCAGACUCCUACGGGAGGCAGCAGUGGGGAAUAUUGGAAUAUGGGCGGAAGCCUGAUCCAGCAAUGCCGCGUAAGUGAUGAAGUCCUUAGGGUUGUAAAGCUCUUUUAUCCGGGAUGAUAAUGACAGUACCGGGAGAAUAAGCUCCGGCUAACUCCGUG